AAUUCAGUUUAAUUUGAUAUUGUAAGUCUUACUUUGUUUUUUAUUUUUAAUUGGGAGAAAUAUCUUUGGUUUUAGUAUAAAUAAAGAACGAAAAAUUUUGUUGUUAUAGUUUAUUAGUACUGUGAAGGAAUAUUGAUGAAAUAUCUUGAAAAUAUAUAUUUUUAAAAGUAGAUUUAAUUUAUUGUACCUUUUGUAUCAGGGUUAAUUAAAUAUAUUUACUUUAUUUUAUUUUCUCGAUUUCAAAAGAGCUAAUUUCAAAUUAUUGUUGUUGUAAUAUAACCAUAUUUAAUAUGAUUUUAGAGGAGACAUUCCAUUCGAUUUUGAAGGUAUCUAGUUUUUUAAGAAAUAAAUUUAAUUUAGAUUUGAUUUUUAAUUAAUUAAUUUAUUAAUUAUUUAUUAAUCAAUAUUGAGAUAUUAGGGGAUAAGCUCUAAUAUAUUCUAAAAGGUUCGUUUGAUUAAAUUUUUGUAGGCUUUAAAUUAGCCAUCAUUAGUGAGUUCGUUGUAGUUCAGAUUAAUUAAAUUAAGAUUUUCUUGUUUUUAGAAGGCUAUUAAAAUGAUAUUUUUAAUAUUAUAAAAUUUGUAAUAAUGAUUAAAUUAGUAUAUUUAAGUUGUGUAUCAUUUAUUUUUUGGUAUAAUUAAAUAAGGAAUUCGGCAAAUUUAACACUCGCCUGUUUAUCAAAAACAUGUCCUCUUGUUUAUAUAUGAGGUCUGACCUGCCCGGUGAGAAUUAUUUUAACGGCCGCAGUAUUUUGACUGUGCAAAGGUAGCAUAAUCAUUAGUCUUUUAAUAGGGGGCUGGUAUGAAGGGUUUGACGAGGUGUUUACUGUCUCAUUUAAUUUGUAUUUAGAAUUUAACUUUUCAGUUAAAAGGCUGAAAUUUUAUUGGAAGACGAGAAGACCCUAUAGAGCUUUAUAAUUAAAAUUAUAAGUAUUCUUUGUUUAUUAUUUGUUAUUAUUAUUUUAAUUAUUUUGUUGGGGUGACAAGAAUAUAUAAUUAACUUUUUUAUUUAAUUAACAUUGAUUUAUGAUUAUUAGAUCCAUUAUUAGUGAUUGUUAGAUUAAGUUACCUUAGGGAUAACAGCGUAAUCUUCCUCCAGAGUUCAUAUUUACGGGAAGGCUUGCGACCUCGAUGUUGGAUUAAGAUAAUAGUUAGGUGUAGCCGCUUAACAUGUAGGUCUGUUCGACCUUUAAAUUCUUACAUGAUCUGAGUUCAAACCGGUUUAAGCCAGGUUGGUUUCUAUCUCCAAUUUAUAAACAAUCUUUAGUACGAGAGGACCAAGAUUAUGAAAUAAUUUUUUAAUUGUUG
Molecule: ribosomal RNA, 1305 nt
Filed under: Asiagomphus coreanus
Lineage: Eukaryota; Metazoa; Arthropoda; Insecta; Odonata; Aeshnidae
Description: 16S ribosomal RNA
Rfam family: Bacterial large subunit ribosomal RNA (bases 857-1305)
Source: RNAcentral